UGAGUGAGUGAGUGCAUGUGAGUGAAUGAGUGAGUGCAUGUGAGCGAGUGAGAGAGAGAGUGUGUGUAUGCAUGAGAGAGAGAGAGAGAAAGAGAGAGAGAAACCAAGCACAGUCAUUGU
RNAcentral lists this non-coding RNA (120 nucleotides) under Stygamoeba regulata. Lineage: Eukaryota; Discosea; Stygamoebida. The record is from RNAcentral.